Molecule: ribosomal RNA, 465 nt
Filed under: uncultured Lactococcus sp.
Lineage: Bacteria; Bacillati; Bacillota; Bacilli; Lactobacillales; Streptococcaceae
Description: bacterial SSU rRNA
Rfam family: Bacterial small subunit ribosomal RNA
Source: RNAcentral
CCUACGGGCGGCUGCAGUAGGGAAUCUUCGGCAAUGGGGGCAACCCUGACCGAGCAACGCCGCGUGAGUGAAGAAGGUUUUCGGAUCGUAAAACUCUGUUGUUAGAGAAGAACGUUAAGUAGAGAGGAAAAUUACUUAAGUGACGGUAUCUAACCAGAAAGGGACGGCUAACUAGGUGCAAGCAGCCGCGGUAUUACGUAGGUGCCAAGGGUAGUCCGGAUUUAUUGGGCGUAAAGCGAGCGCAGGUGGUUGCUUAAGUCGGAUGUAAAAGGCAGUGGGUCAACCAUUGUGUGCAUUGGAAACUGGGAGACUUGAGUGCAGGAGAGGAGAGUGGAAUUCCAUGUGUAGCGGUGAAAUGCGUAGAUAUAUGGAGGAACACCGGAGGCGAAAGCGGCUCUCUGGCCUGUAACUGACACUGAGGCUCGAAAGCGUGGGGAGCAAACAGGAUUAGAUACCCGUGUAGUC